RNAcentral lists this long non-coding RNA (1724 nucleotides) under Homo sapiens (human). RNAcentral describes it as "HSALNT0385624". The record is from RNAcentral. Lineage: Eukaryota; Metazoa; Chordata; Mammalia; Primates; Hominidae.
CGCAGGGCGCCCGGGGCAGCUGGCCGAGCCCUCGAUGCCUCCCGUCUGACGGAGGCGCCCGGGAAGCGCCGCCCACCUCGGCCCCGCACCCUCGCCGGCCUGCCGGGUCUCCGCCAGCCCUAGCAGACAGAGAGGGGCGCCGGUCCCUAGUCCCCCAGACCUCCAUUCAAGGUCAAAACUUUGCCCAGCUCAGCCUUGCUCGACCCUGGGCAGGGAAGCGCGGACAUCGGCAGAGGGAGCCCGAGGCUCUCCGUGCCCUUCGCGCCGCUCCCCAAGGAUGGAUAACACUAACAUAUAGUCAGUGGGAAAGAAAUCUCAGAAAAUAACUGUUAGUUUGUCACUGUCAUGGGAAAUGGGAAGGAAGAAAAACAGCACUUAUCAAGCAUCUUCUGUGUACAAACUGCCAUUUCAGACUCAGAGCAGUCCUUGAAGGUCAAGAACUGUGGAAUCUUUCAGAUGAUAUUCUGAUACUUCUGGACCAAGAUUGAAUUUGUUCUUCAUGAAAAAUGUCUGGGACCUUUUAUGUGGGAGGAGCCAAGAUGGCCGAAUAGGAAAAGCUCCGGUCUACAGCUCCCAGCGUGAGCAACGCAGAAGACGGGUGAUUUCUGCAUUUCCAUCUGAGACAAGGUCUCACCCUGUUGCCCAGGCUGGAGCCCAGUGGCGCGAUCACAGCUCACUACGGCCUUGACUUGUGCUCAGGCGAUCCUCCCACCUCAGCCUCCUGAGUACCCGGGAUUACAGGCGUGUGCCACCACAUGCAGCUAAUGUAAAACAUUUUUAUUCUGUAGAGACAGGAUCUCACUAUGUUGCCCAGGCUAGUCAGACAAGUCUCGAACUCCUGGGCUCAGGCAGUCUUCUGCCUCAGCCUCCCAAAGUGCUGGGAUUACAGGUGUAAGCCAUGGCAUCUGACCCGAAGAUAAAUGUACUUGUCCUGUACUUUGUCAGAAUGUUCCUAAAUAGAAUAGGUAAAAGCCUGAGACCCCUUCUGAUUGAAAAGAUUAAAAAGUUAAGUCACCUUGUUCUGUUGCAUAUAUUAAAAAUUAAUUGUUGUAACAAUGGAAACAAUUGUGUUUCAUUAGGAGGUAUUUCUGUGAGCAUUAAUAGGGAAUGUUUUUCCUUUGCAUCAGAGCUUUUCCAGAAUGCAUUUCUCUUGUAAAUAGCUUGUAAUUUAUUUUUCAAGUUUUCAUACUUAACAGUGAAUAUGCUAUUGGGGUGAGAGAUGUGAUGGUAAACUUAUCAAUGACGGCCCAUUAAAAAGCAAACCAAAUUCUAGAGAAAGCUCAUUUAUUCAUACCUCAAAUAUUUGUCAUGUAACUAUGUGUCAGGCACUGUGCUGGGGAGUAAAGACUGAAUAAUCAAUAAGACACAAUCCUGAAGGGACUUAACACAGAUACUCACCCACUUUAAACUAUAAUAAGUGACAGUAGUAGGACUAGGCAUAGGGUGCUAAGAAACAACAGAAGGUGCAUCCAACUCUAUGUCAAACGGAAGCCAGGGAAUGCUUUCUCGGAGGAAAUAUUGUCUGAGUGCCAACCUGAAGGUCACACAGAGCAAACUAGGAGAAGGUGAAGAAGAGAAGGCUUUGUUACAGAGGCAGGUGCAGGAACAGGAGGUGACAGAGGUGACAGAACAUAGUGGUUCAGAGAUCUGAUUAUAGAGUUGUGGGAGGGCCUGAGGAAAAACUGCAAGAGAUAAGGCUGAAGGGGUAAACCAGGGCUCUAUCU